Long non-coding RNA from Marmota flaviventris (yellow-bellied marmot), 1325 nucleotides. RefSeq lists it as uncharacterized. The record is from RefSeq and is a predicted model, not a curated record. Lineage: Eukaryota; Metazoa; Chordata; Mammalia; Rodentia; Sciuridae.
UGAGCCACAUAACCCAGCCCCAAUUAUUUUUAUUUUAUCCUUUUAAUUUCUCUUUCUCUGGGACUCUCAAUAAGCUGAGAGUUACAAUAUUAAGCCACAAGGAUAUCCCAAUUUACAUUUCCAAACUGCCACCCACCAGUUUCCUUCACAAACCCGAUUUUCUGGGCAGAUGGAUCCCCUCUGCCAAAGGAACAUGACAGGUUUCUUGCCGCCUCCAAACUUACAACUAAUAUUAAUAUAUUAGUUAAUAAUACAUUAACUAAUGACGAUUAGUUAAUAACUAAUCGUCAUUAGUUAAUGACGUAAAUAAAAUCUUUAUAUUUUCUUACGAGCUUUAUAACUUUACAAUUUUCCUCCAACUUCCUAAUGUUAUUUAAUGUAAAAAAUUGAAUUAAAGUCACUGAUUUGGUACACUGUUUCAGUUGGUGUUUUGGGGUGCAAGCAACAGAAAUCAACUGUAGCUAAUGUCAAGCUUUUAAGGUAAAAAAAGAAGAAGAAGAAGAAGAAUCUAUUGGAAGAUUAUUGAAUGGCUUGCAGAAUCCAUAAAAAGUCCAAAGUUGUGGGCUUGGGAAGUGGAUGAGAGCCAUUGUGGUUUGGUGGCAGGACUACAAGCAAAGACAUGCCACAAGAAUGGGCUGGCGUGGAAACCACUUCUGGGCACUGUCAUUGUUGGACAUCACAGCUGAUGGCCUCUGGCCACUCUCUCAGUCAUUAGUUGCUGCUGCCACAAACUGAACACCAAAUAGUUCUUGAGUUUUUUUCAAAAUUUGUUCAAGAUUUGAAAUCCUGGACAAGAUUAUCUAAUGGCCUGGGGCAAGGCCUAUGUAUGCCCUUGCCCUUGGCUUCCUGGAACCUAAAUCCCACGGAGAUCCAGAGUGGGCACACCUCCAAAAUAGAAAAGGAGCUUCCAGAAUGUGAAAACCAUCUACCAGUUUUGUUUUGGUGGUACUGGAGAAUCAAACCGAGGUCCUUGCAUAUGUGCCAGAGAGGCACCUUACCACUGAGCUACAUCCCCAGCCCUCCAGUCUUUCUUAACAACUAAUUAGGGACACAGUCUGCUCCACUGCACCUGACUGGAACUGGAAGAGGAAAGGGAGAGAUGGUAGGAAGAAGGUGAUAAAACUGCUGAGCUCUGACUAGUGUCCAUGUUGCACUCUACUUAAUCUUCAUCAGCACUCAGUGAGCUAAGCCAAAAAUUGGUCCAUCCAGAGCAAUUAAAAGCUUCCUUUGCCAGACCUUGGGGAUUUCUGUCUGAUCAAUGAGAAAAACACCAUAGUUGGAAAACAGCCGAAACCAAGAACAGAACAAUCGUGCCUUAGCUGUUC